Molecule: ribosomal RNA, 207 nt
Filed under: uncultured Anaerolineaceae bacterium
Lineage: Bacteria; Bacillati; Chloroflexota; Anaerolineae; Anaerolineales; Anaerolineaceae
Description: partial 16S ribosomal RNA
Rfam family: Bacterial small subunit ribosomal RNA
Source: RNAcentral
CGUGCAGGUGGUUCGGAAAGUUGGAUGUGAAAGCUCCUGGCUUAACUAGGAGAGGUCGUUCAAUACUUCCGGGCUUGAGUGUGGGAGAGGGAGGUGGAAUUCCGGGUGUAGUGGUGAAAUGCGUAGAUAUCCGGAGGAACACCAGUGGCGAAAGCGGCCUCCUGGCCCGCUACUGACACUUAGACGCGAAAGCUAGGGUAGCAAACG